GCAUAUCAAUAAGCGGAGGAAAAGAAACCAACAGGGAUUGCCUCAGUAACGGCGAAGUGAAGCGGCAAGAGCUCAAAUUUGAAAGCUGGCUCCUUCGGGGUCCGCAUUGUAAUUUGCAGAGGAUGCUUCGGGAGCGGCCCCCAUCUAAGUGCCCUGGAACGGGCCGUCAUAGAGGGUGAGAAUCCCGUCUGGGAUGGGGUGCCCGCGCCCGUGUGAAGCUCCUUCGACGAGUCGAGUUGUUUGGGAAUGCAGCUCUAAAUGGGUGGUAAAUUUCAUCUAAAGCUAAAUACUGGCCGGAGACCGAUAGCGCACAAGUAGAGUGAUCGAAAGAUGAAAAGCACUUUGAAAAGAGAGUUAAACAGCACGUGAAAUUGUUGAAAGGGAAGCGCUUGCGACCAGACUCGCUCGCGGGGUUCAGCCGGCCUUCGGGCCGGUGUACUUCCCCGCGGGCGGGCCAGCGUCGGUUUGGGCGGCCGGUCAAAGGCCCUCGGAAUGUAACGCCCCCCGGGGCGUCUUAUAGCCGAGGGUGCCAUGCGGCCAGCCCGGACCGAGGAACGCGCUUCGGCUCGGACGCUGGCAUAAUGGUCGUAAGCGACCCGUCUUGAAACACGGACCAAGGAGUCUAACAUCUACGCGAGUGUUCGGGUGUCAAACCCGUGCGCGCAGUGAAAGCGAACGGAGGUGGGAACCCCUCGGGGUGCACCAUCGACCGAUCCUGAUGUCUUCGGAUGGAUUUGAGUAAGAGCGUAGCUGUUGGGACCCGAAAGAUGGUGAACUAUGCCUGAAUAGGGCGAAGCCAGAGGAAACUCUGGUGGAGGCUCGCAGCGGUUCUGACGUGCAAAUCGAUCGUCAAAUUUGGGUAUAGGGGCGAAAGACUAAUCGAACCAUCUAGUAGCUGGUUCCUGCG
This 907-nucleotide ribosomal RNA is filed under the name Penicillium javanicum. RNAcentral's name for it is "partial large subunit ribosomal RNA". It matches the Rfam family "Eukaryotic large subunit ribosomal RNA", at positions 38 to 962 of the family's 3401-position model. The record is from RNAcentral. Lineage: Eukaryota; Fungi; Ascomycota; Eurotiomycetes; Eurotiales; Aspergillaceae.